Molecule: ribosomal RNA, 449 nt
Filed under: uncultured bacterium
Lineage: Bacteria
Description: partial 16S ribosomal RNA
Rfam family: Bacterial small subunit ribosomal RNA
Source: RNAcentral
GUCCAGACUCCUACGGGAGGCAGCAGUGGGGGAUAUUGCACAAUGGGGGAAACCCUGAUGCAGCGACGCCGCGUGGGCGAAGAAGUAUUUCGGUAUGUAAAGCCCUAUCAGCAGGGAAGAAGAAAUGACGGUACCUGAGUAAGAAGCACCGGCUAAAUACGUGCCAGCAGCCGCGGUAAUACGUAUGGUGCAAGCGUUAUCCGGAUUUACUGGGUGUAAAGGGAGCGCAGGCGGCACGGCAAGCCUGAUGUGAAAGCCCGCGGCCCAACCCCGGGACUGCCCUUGGAACUGUGCGGCUAGAGUGCGGGAGGGGCAGGCGGAAUUCCUGGUGUAGCGGUGAAAUGCACAGAUAUCACGCAGAACCCCGAUUGCGAAGGCAGCCUUCCGGCGCCCUACUGACGCUGAGGCACGAAAGUGCGGGGAUCGAACAGGAUUAGAUACCCCGGUAA